This 468-nucleotide ribosomal RNA is filed under the name uncultured bacterium. RNAcentral's name for it is "partial 16S ribosomal RNA". It matches the Rfam family "Bacterial small subunit ribosomal RNA", at positions 28 to 507 of the family's 1533-position model. The record is from RNAcentral.
GACGAACGCUGGCGGCGUGCUUAACACAUGCAAGUCGAACGGAAAGGCCCUGCUCUUGUGGGGUGCUCGAUUGGCGAACGGGUGAGUAACACGUGAGUAACCUGCCCUUGACUUUCGGAUAACUUCACGAAACUGGGGCUAAUACCCCAUAGGAGCUCCUGCUGCAUGGUGGGGGUUGGAAAGUUUCGGCGGUUGUGGAUGGAUUCGCGGCUUCUCAGCUUGUUGGUGGGGUAGUGGCUUACCAAGGCUUCGACGGAUAGCCGGCCUGAGAGGGUGACCUGCGACAUGGGGACUAAGGUAGGGCCCAGACUUGAACCAGAGGCAGCAGAGGGGAGUAUUACGCAGGGUGCCAGUGUAUGAGAGCGCGGCGUACCGUGCGGGAUGACGGCUUUCGAGUUACGAACAGAUUUCGAAUCAGACGUAGAGUUAGUGACGGUACCGGAUAAAUAAGCACCGGCUAACUACGUG